Molecule: small nuclear RNA, 103 nt
Organism: Sciurus vulgaris (Eurasian red squirrel)
Lineage: Eukaryota; Metazoa; Chordata; Mammalia; Rodentia; Sciuridae
Source: Ensembl
UUGCUUCCAUAGCACAUAUACUACAAUUAGAACAAUGCAGAGAAAGUUGCCAUGGUCAAUGUGCAAGGAUCACACAAACAUCUGUGAAGUGUUCUACAGUUUU